GCUGCACUUCAAGAGAACUACAAUCUUUUAUUUUUUCUUUCUAAGUUUUGUUUUGCUUUGAACUUGUCAGCAUUUUGCCUUGAGCAAUCUCCACCUCUAAGUCUCCAAAUGCCUGGAAAUGAGAAUUUGUCAAGGAAGUAGAGUUAUUGCAGAAUCAUGAGAAUUGGAUAUGGAAAGAAUUCACGAAGCAGUCUAUUCCAACUGCAGGCCACUUAAGAAGAAUUUUUAGUCUGCUCUCCAAUGAUGGGCUUCAGCAGGAUUUGGUACAACAUCUGUUGAAGAAGUCUCUAAAGAACUUAUGAUUAAAUUAAGUUUAUGGUGAAAUUGUGGGGACCAGGAAAAUUACCUGCUUGAAAAUACCAUUGACCUUAAGUCAGUUACAGGAAAUAGCCUCUGAGGAAAAAAAUCAACAGUGAAAAAUUUUGGUGCCAGCUCUGCCUCUGAAUUGUUGGGUGAGUUAUGGUAAUUACUGAACUUCUCUAAAAUAAAAGUAUUUAAUUAAAUCA
RNAcentral lists this long non-coding RNA (506 nucleotides) under Sus scrofa (pig). Its description in RNAcentral is "lncRNA (ENSSSCG00025000378.1)". The record is from RNAcentral. Lineage: Eukaryota; Metazoa; Chordata; Mammalia; Artiodactyla; Suidae.